UGGCUGUAAUUCAUCAACAGUCCGUUUUCUUGUUCGACGUCUAAAAUAGCAGUGCAAGUGAGAACAUUUUCUAUGUCCAAAUUUGUCAACUCUUUCGUGCACUUUGGGGUGGCAUGGCUUCAGCCUCUGAGAAAACAGUUGAAUAACUUGACUUUAGACUACGUGAUGAUGAGAGGCGUGAUUUAACUACAUAAAGUCAAAAAUACUGCUCAUACUUGUGAUUGUGAUAAACAAAGAAAGCAAAUUUGAAAUUUCGUGUCAAACUGUCAAGGGAUUCUGUUUAACAUCACGUCGACACUUAGCUGUCAUCUGUCAAUUUGGCUACAAUCUCGGAUCGGUUAACCAUAGGAUCGGAUCUUUUUUCUACAUUCUUCUAUUACUCAAUAUUAUAAGGGGAUUGAGUCUUUGUCAGAGGGCAUCGUUUGCCACCAGUCAAUGUUGAACAAAUUGGCCGGUAGCUGGGAAUUCAUUCAUAACUUUGAAAUUUGACAAGCAGGCUGUUUCUAUCUUCGACUAAGCUAAAAGAAGUCAUUGUAUCAUCAGCCCUUACUGAUGAAAUUCUUUUGAAUCCCACAAUAACUAUGACCACCAUCUAGCCUUUCCAGUCAAUGAGCUUCGAAAAUUAGCAAGCUGUCUGAAAAAAGGGGGAAAACGACUAGGGCUCAAGACUUGUUCUCUGAUGUGAUCCCCAUUAGUACUGACACCAAACUCCCUGCUUUGUUGAUCAAACAAUUGGUUCUGAGUGGAAAACUCACUGAGAUGGAAGCACAUUUAUGAUUCUUGUCCUACCCUACCAUCUGAGCAACUGUUCACCUCACGGGAGAAUCUCUUGAAAGAGAGCCUCAACAUAAAGAUCAAGGAACCGAUACCAUCAACAAGUACAUCAUAGCAUCAUAGCAUGUCGUGCAAGUCGUCAAAGAUCCACACUGCGUACUCCAACUUGAUGCCUGCUUCACUCUACGUAACACCAACUUGAUCCCUGCCAUUGAGCAAUAUGAGCAUCUUAUGGAAAUACGCAUCUUGAGCAUCUCACGUCAAAAGCGGCUCCGUUCUUCACGCUGUCAACCUCACGUAAUCUUUGCUCUGCAGGCUGCAGCCCAUCGUCACCGUUAACCGCAACAAUUUCUUGCCUGCUAUUCUCUCCCUGAUUCUGAAUGCCACCGAGAUCCGUGUAACCGCUUUCGUUCACCUUGUUCUGCCGGUCUGCGUUCAUCCCACUUUCCUCGAGCUGUUAUCUUUCCCCGUGUCUGUUAUUUGUUUAUAAAAAUACAAUCAUUUGCUAACAAA
Molecule: long non-coding RNA, 1287 nt
Filed under: Daphnia pulex (common water flea)
Lineage: Eukaryota; Metazoa; Arthropoda; Branchiopoda; Diplostraca; Daphniidae
Description: uncharacterized LOC124188992, transcript variant X2
Source: RNAcentral